RNAcentral lists this ribosomal RNA (578 nucleotides) under uncultured bacterium. Its description in RNAcentral is "partial 16S ribosomal RNA". It matches the Rfam family "Bacterial small subunit ribosomal RNA", at positions 355 to 932 of the family's 1533-position model. The record is from RNAcentral.
UGGGGAAUUUUGGACAAUGGGCGAAAGCCUGAUCCAGCAACGCCGCGUGUGUGAAGAAGGCCUUCGGGUUGUAAAGCACUUUUGUCCGGAAAGAAAUCCUUGGCUCUAAUACAGUCGGGGGAUGACGGUACCGGAAGAAUAAGCACCGGCUAACUACGUGCCAGCAGCCGCGGUAAUACGUAGGGUGCAAGCGUUAAUCGGAAUUACUGGGCGUAAAGCGUGCGCAGGCGGUUUGCUAAGACCGAUGUGAAAUCCCCGGGCUCAACCUGGGAACUGCAUUGGUGACUGGCAGGCUAGAGUAUGGCAGAGGGGGGUAGAAUUCCACGUGUAGCAGUGAAAUGCGUAGAGAUGUGGAGGAAUACCGAUGGCGAAGGCAGCCCCCUGGGCAAUACUGACGCUCAUGCACGAAAGCGUGGGGAGCAAACAGGAUUAGAUACCCUGGUAGUCCACGCCCUAAACGAUGUCAACUAGUUGUUGGGGAUUCAUUUCCUUAGUAACGUAGCUAACGCGUGAAGUUGACCGCCUGGGGAGUACGGUCGCAAGAUUAAAACUCAAAUGAAUUGACGGGGUCAUAGCUG